This 332-nucleotide long non-coding RNA is filed under the name Gallus gallus (chicken). RNAcentral describes it as "lncRNA (ENSGALG00010000103.1)". The record is from RNAcentral. Lineage: Eukaryota; Metazoa; Chordata; Aves; Galliformes; Phasianidae.
UGAAGGGAGAGGUGGAGGAGGGCUUUGAGCAGCGGUGUGCAGGAAUGAAUGGCUGGCAGGAGCCGGGCAGCGGUACUGCAGCUCGUCUGGCAGCUUUGCAGCUCAGUUGGGAAGUAGAAGAUGUGGCUGUGAAAGAAGAAGUCAGUUGCUGGGACGUCCCCCUGUUCUUCCCCUAGCUGUCCCCUUGCCUCAGCCUGGAUUCCCCUUGCAUUCCUGUAGGAUUCCCUUCCAUCCUCCUGGUUGUCCCUUGCUUUCCCCAAGGUUGCUCUUUCCUUUCCCAUGACAGCCCACCCAUCAUUCCCUCAAAGCCCCAAUAUCCACCCCAGUGUUUC